RNAcentral lists this non-coding RNA (99 nucleotides) under Candidatus Kurthia intestinigallinarum. RNAcentral describes it as "SAM riboswitch (S box leader)". It matches the Rfam family "SAM riboswitch aptamer (S box leader)". From Rfam's summary of the family: The SAM riboswitch is found upstream of a number of genes which code for proteins involved in methionine or cysteine biosynthesis in Gram-positive bacteria. The SAM riboswitch acts at the level of transcription termination control. Lineage: Bacteria; Bacillati; Bacillota; Bacilli; Caryophanales; Caryophanaceae. The record is from RNAcentral.
UCUUAUCAAGAGCGUUGGAGGGACUGGCCCAUUGAAGACGCAGCAACAGACAUUUUGUACUGUGCUAAUUCCUGUAGCAUCAUUUGCUAAAAGAUGAGA